RNAcentral lists this ribosomal RNA (2454 nucleotides) under Salmonella enterica subsp. enterica serovar Typhimurium. RNAcentral's name for it is "partial 23S ribosomal RNA". It matches the Rfam family "Bacterial large subunit ribosomal RNA", at positions 580 to 2925 of the family's 2925-position model. Lineage: Bacteria; Pseudomonadati; Pseudomonadota; Gammaproteobacteria; Enterobacterales; Enterobacteriaceae. The record is from RNAcentral.
CAGGUUUACCUGUGUGACUGCGUACCUUUUGUAUAAUGGGUCAGCGACUUAUAUUCUGUAGCAAGGUUAACCGUAUAGGGGAGCCGUAGGGAAACCGAGUCUUAACCGGGCGUUAAGUUGCAGGGUAUAGACCCGAAACCCGGUGAUCUAGCCAUGGGCAGGUUGAAGGUUGGGUAACACUAACUGGAGGACCGAACCGACUAAUGUUGAAAAAUUAGCGGAUGACCUGUGGCUGGGGGUGAAAGGCCAAUCAAACCGGGAGAUAGCUGGUUCUCCCCGAAAGCUAUUUAGGUAGCGCCUCGUGAAUUCAUCUCCGGGGGUAGAGCACUGUUUCGGCUAGGGGGCCAUCCCGGCUUACCAACCCGAUGCAAACUGCGAAUACCGGAGAAUGUUAUCACGGGAGACACACGGCGGGUGCUAACGUCCGUCGUGAAGAGGGAAACAACCCAGACCGCCAGCUAAGGUCCCAAAGUCAUGGUUAAGUGGGAAACGAUGUGGGAAGGCCCAGACAGCCAGGAUGUUGGCUUAGAAGCAGCCAUCAUUUAAAGAAAGCGUAAUAGCUCACUGGUCGAGUCGGCCUGCGCGGAAGAUGUAACGGGGCUAAACCAUGCACCGAAGCUGCGGCAGCGAACGUAUCACCCAAGACAACUUUACGGAGUUGACGAUUGACGGAGCGAAGCGACGUCAAAGCGUUCAUUAAAGUCGAGUUGGCUUAGGGAUACGUUCGUUGGGUAGGGGAGCGUUCUGUAAGCCUGUGAAGGUGUGUCGUGAGGCAUGCUGGAGGUAUCAGAAGUGCGAAUGCUGACAUAAGUAACGAUAAAGCGGGUGAAAAGCCCGCUCGCCGGAAGACCAAGGGUUCCUGUCCAACGUUAAUCGGGGCAGGGUGAGUCGACCCCUAAGGCGAGGCCGAAAGGCGUAGUCGAUGGGAAACGGGUUAAUAUUCCCGUACUUGGUGUUACUGCGAAGGGGGGACGGAGAAGGCUAUGUUGGCCGGGCGACGGUUGUCCCGGUUUAAGCGUGUAGGUGUGUGUUCCAGGUAAAUCCGGUUCACUUUAACACUGAGGCGUGACGACGAGGCACUACGGUGCUGAAGCAACAAAUGCCCUGCUUCCAGGAAAAGCCUCUAAGCAUCAGGUAACACGAAAUCGUACCCCAAACCGACACAGGUGGUCAGGUAGAGAAUACCAAGGCGCUUGAGAGAACUCGGGUGAAGGAACUAGGCAAAAUGGUGCCGUAACUUCGGGAGAAGGCACGCUGACACGUAGGUGAAGUGAUUUACUCAUGGAGCUGAAGUCAGUCGAAGAUACCAGCUGGCUGCAACUGUUUAUUAAAAACACAGCACUGUGCAAACACGAAAGUGGACGUAUACGGUGUGACGCCUGCCCGGUGCCGGAAGGUUAAUUGAUGGGGUCAGCGCAAGCGAAGCUCCUGAUCGAAGCCCCGGUAAACGGCGGCCGUAACUAUAACGGUCCUAAGGUAGCGAAAUUCCUUGUCGGGUAAGUUCCGACCUGCACGAAUGGCGUAAUGAUGGCCAGGCUGUCUCCACCCGAGACUCAGUGAAAUUGAACUCGCUGUGAAGAUGCAGUGUACCCGCGGCAAGACGGAAAGACCCCGUGAACCUUUACUAUAGCUUGACACUGAACAUUGAGCCUUGAUGUGUAGGAUAGGUGGGAGGCUUUGAAGUGUGGACGCCAGUCUGCAUGGAGCCGACCUUGAAAUACCACCCUUUAAUGUUUGAUGUUCUAACGUGGACCCGUAAUCCGGGUUGCGGACAGUGUCUGGUGGGUAGUUUGACUGGGGCGGUCUCCUCCUAAAGAGUAACGGAGGAGCACGAAGGUUGGCUAAUCCUGGUCGGACAUCAGGAGGUUAGUGCAAUGGCAUAAGCCAGCUUGACUGCGAGCGUGACGGCGCGAGCAGGUGCGAAAGCAGGUCAUAGUGAUCCGGUGGUUCUGAAUGGAAGGGCCAUCGCUCAACGGAUAAAAGGUACUCCGGGGAUAACAGGCUGAUACCGCCCAAGAGUUCAUAUCGACGGCGGUGUUUGGCACCUCGAUGUCGGCUCAUCACAUCCUGGGGCUGAAGUAGGUCCCAAGGGUAUGGCUGUUCGCCAUUUAAAGUGGUACGCGAGCUGGGUUUAGAACGUCGUGAGACAGUUCGGUCCCUAUCUGCCGUGGGCGCUGGAGAACUGAGGGGGGCUGCUCCUAGUACGAGAGGACCGGAGUGGACGCAUCACUGGUGUUCGGGUUGUCAUGCCAAUGGCACUGCCCGGUAGCUAAAUGCGGAAGAGAUAAGUGCUGAAAGCAUCUAAGCACGAAACUUGCCCCGAGAUGAGUUCUCCCUGAGACUUAGAGUCUCCUGAAGGAACGUUGAAGACGACGACGUUGAUAGGCCGGGUGUGUAAGCGCAGCGAUGCGUUGAGCUAACCGGUACUAAUGAACCGUGAGGCUUAACCUUACA